AGACAUUGACUUCCAACUUUCCUCCGGCUCUUACAGGUUAUAUUUCCUGUCACCCACCAGGGAGGAUCAUCUCUCAUGAAAACUUUCAAAUUUGAUUUUGAAAAUGAUUCAGAAAAAUUGAAGCCAUAUUAUCUCCCCAUGUAGGGAAGAGUAUGCUCUGGAGAAUACAAUAAUCCACAGAAAAUGGACUGAGCUAACAUUUGGGUUCUCAUGUUACCAAAAUCCUCUUGAGAUGAACAGUCAGGAGGCGAACAAUGAAGGGGCAGCGAAGGAGGCUAGUGCUACCAGGGUUAUCGCACAACCUCAGAUACUGGACAAGUUGAAGGAUGCACAAUCGCUUCUGGAUGACGUUCAGAAAGGCCGGAAUGAUGAUUUGGAUGAGAAAAGCCUGCCUAUUCUUUCCAGGGUGUGUGACCAUUCCCCUGACUGGCCCGUCCAAUGGUUCCAAGAUGAAUGAUUAGAAACCUGCCUUACACAAUGGAUACACUUGGCGCCCCACCACACCUAAAGCCACACUUUGAAGGAUCUGCCAAGCUCACUUUUAAUCAUGAGAAAGAAAUUACCCACAUGGAGUCAGCAGAAAAUGAGAAAGUGGAGCUCGUGCUGCGAGUAAUCCUGCAAGUGCCAAGGGGCUAGUUGAGGAAUGGCUUCAUGAGGAGGCAUAGUCUUACUUCCUUUUAUGGAAGGCAUAUUCCCUUCUGAAUCUUCUGGCUAACUGAGCAGAGCUCAGUAUCACCUUACGACAAGAGGAACACUGGCAGUUCUCCCAUUUAUCUGUUUCUUCAAAAGUAGAAAGCUACAUUUCCUACUCCUACAGAAA
Long non-coding RNA from Ochotona princeps (American pika), 820 nucleotides. RefSeq lists it as uncharacterized. The transcript is spliced from 5 exons. The record is from RefSeq and is a predicted model, not a curated record. Lineage: Eukaryota; Metazoa; Chordata; Mammalia; Lagomorpha; Ochotonidae.